GGAGGCAUAGCUCAGCUGGUUAGAGCGCUCGCUUCACAUGCGAGAGGUCGUAGGUUCGAGUCCUACUGUCUCUACCA
Molecule: transfer RNA, 77 nt
Filed under: Peptococcaceae bacterium
Lineage: Bacteria; Bacillati; Bacillota; Clostridia; Eubacteriales; Peptococcaceae
Description: tRNA-Val
Rfam family: tRNA
About the family: Transfer RNA (tRNA) molecules are approximately 80 nucleotides in length. Their secondary structure includes four short double-helical elements and three loops (D, anti-codon, and T loops). Further hydrogen bonds mediate the characteristic L-shaped molecular structure. tRNAs have two regions of fundamental functional importance: the anti-codon, which is responsible for specific mRNA codon recognition, and the 3' end, to which the tRNAs corresponding amino acid is attached (by aminoacyl-tRNA synthetases). tRNAs cope with the degeneracy of the genetic code in two manners: having more than one tRNA (with a specific anti-codon) for a particular amino acid; and 'wobble' base-pairing, i.e. permitting non-standard base-pairing at the 3rd anti-codon position.
Source: RNAcentral